AAAACUCAAAUUGGUCGAAGGAGUACUUUAACCAAAUUAAUAUCAUUCAUUCAUUUUGGGAGAUGGAAUGUACAUUCCAUCAACCCCCUAAAUCCAAUGAUAUUAACUUAACAAAGUCAAAUCAACCUUGACCAAGGCCCAACAACAUGACUCAAACUUACACAAAUCAUCACAAUAGGUCAACACAAUUAUUUGGCAUUUAUUUAAAUUAAAAAUACUAAAAUA
RNAcentral lists this long non-coding RNA (225 nucleotides) under Lathyrus oleraceus (garden pea). RNAcentral's name for it is "Pisum sativum (pea) long non-coding RNA (PSAT_LNC042134)". Lineage: Eukaryota; Viridiplantae; Streptophyta; Magnoliopsida; Fabales; Fabaceae. The record is from RNAcentral.